RNAcentral lists this long non-coding RNA (2390 nucleotides) under Helianthus annuus (common sunflower). Its description in RNAcentral is "hypothetical non coding rna". The record is from RNAcentral. Lineage: Eukaryota; Viridiplantae; Streptophyta; Magnoliopsida; Asterales; Asteraceae.
GUUCUGAGUCUCUUUAAGGACAUCAAUGUAUCAAUUUUUACCUUUUCAUAGAAAAAAAAAAGUUAUUUCCUCCUAUGCAGUUACUACGGUAAAAAAUCAGAUAUUGGUCAAGGACCCCCCAUAUUUGAGAUAUCGGUUAUCGCAGUGGUAUAUCGGUGGGAUAUUGGUAAUUUUCGUAUCAUGCAGAAUUUAUAUAUAUAGCAAUUUAACACUAACAAUUCAGUAUGCUCUCCUACCAUUAACAAAUUAACCUUUUGCAACUUGCAAAACACUUACAACUGUAGCAAGUAAUUAAGACUUAAAACACUAACAAUUAACAAUUAAGACUUAAAACACUAAUAACAACAAUAAGAAGACAGACGAAUGGUAGAACUAAGAAAAAAAGUACCGAUAUCAGAAAAAAUCGGUGUUAUAUUGGUCAAUAUCGCCGAUAAUAUCAGUAACGAUAUUCUGACCGAUAUUUUACAUGGGGAACGAUACAGAAAUAUCGAUGAUACAUCACCAAUAUAGACUGCAUAGCAUAGUUGUUAAAAGCCAUCGCCUCUUGAGCCUAGGCCCAUUUUUCAGGCGAGGCGAGGCAGUUGCGCCUUAAGUCGAGGAAAUUGCGCUUUAAUUCUCCAGGUGAUGGUUCAGGUGCACAUUCCGAUGAGACUCCUAGAUUCCGGAGAGUUUCCGGCCAAAUUCUCUAAAUUCCGGCAAGAUUCUAGCCAAAUCUGUACUUUUAUCUAGGGAAAACUACUUUUCUACACUAAUACACUAAUAAUUUAGAACUUUUGAUACUAAUUACUAAAUAGAUGAUAUAAAGUGGUAUAUAAUAGAUUUUGUUUAUUUUAUUUAAAGAAUAGUAUUCUUUUUCUAAUACAUAAUAUAUAUUUUUUUAUUUUGUUUCAUUAUGCGCUUUAUUUUUCUCAGGCCCUUGCUUUUUUUUGCGCUUUGCGUCUAGGCCCCAGAUGAGGCCUAUGCGCCUUGAGUGCGUCUAGCGCCUUUAAUAACUAUGCUGCAUAGAUUUCCUCACGAUAUUUAUCCUUAUCUACUUUGGCUAUCCUUAUUAGUUCAUUUUCUUGUAUAUCUAAUGUAAGAUUUUGUUCCACAAUAAAAACAUAAGUACGACCAUAGCAGAACGUUAUUUACGAUAACUUAAUAUAAUCAUCGCAUUCCUAUUCCUAACUCUAUAUAUUUCACUAAUUAAGUGUACUUGUUACUUGUUCGGUGAGUGUAGCUAAACAUGCAACAUGAGAAUCCUAUAAGCAUAUUGGUUACAAACUAUUUAUUAAACAAAAGACACUUCAAAUAGCCAUAUGUAACAUGUUUCUUUUAUUGCCAAUGUAUAGCAUCCUCUUUACAGACAAGCACAUAAUGCACAAUAUCGAAAACGACAAAAUUAAAAUGAAGAAUGUAAGGAUUUAUUAAUCACCUCAACACCAUCCCCUCGAUGAUAAUCCAUUGUCAAGGUUUCAGCCGUCCUUUUCCCUUCAUCAUAGCAGCUUCUAACACCUAUAUAAUAUCAUAAACUAUAUGGUUACAACUUACAAGCAUCACAAAAACACAAAAAUAAAAAUGUAAUGUUAACCUAUAGGAUUCACAUGCCCCCAAUAAGUCUCCUUUUGAGGAUGCUCAAGUGGGUCCCCAUAAACCUCACUAGUGCUUGUAAGCAAAAAUCUUGCCCCGAUUCUCUUGGCAAGUCCCAACAUGUUUAAAGUGCCCAUCACGUUCGGGAAGCAGGACAAGCCAAAUGAUAGAUCUGAUCAACCUCCAACAAAAUAGGCUCAACCACAUCAUGCCUAAUUAGCUCAAAUCUAGGGUUCCCAAAAUGAUGCAUAACAUUCUCUUUUCUCCCAGUAAAGAAAUUGUCAAUCACAAUCACAUCAUCCCCUCUAGCAAUCAACUUAUCCACCAAAUGACUACCCACAAACCCAGAUCCACCUGUCACCACCACCCGCCGCCGCUUCCGCCCUAUACUCACCGGUACCCGCCCCACCGCCUGCCGGGUUACUGAUUCUCGACCGGGGAUUGUUAUUGGGGUGUUGUAAAGUGAUGUGAUUUCAUCGGUUGUGGUGAGUGUGGUGAUUGUGGAAAUUGGGGAGAUUGAUGGUUUGAAGAGGACGAAGGUGGAUCCGAUCAAGAUUCCGAUUAGGAUGAAGAGAAGACGUUGUUCUUUGAGAAUGUAAUUGAUGGAUCUUGGGAGGUGUCUGUGGGAAUUGGAGGAUGAGUGUUUGAGGGAUUUGGGGGAGUAUGGUGGGGUUUCAGUGGUGGGUGUGGGUGUUUCUUCAUCUCUUCUUUGGUGUAAUUGCUUCAUGUUGUUGAUGAUUGUUGGGUUGGGGGAUUAAUGAACAUGAGAGGGAGGGAGGGGGAUCUGGAGAUUUGUGGGUUUUGAGGAUCUGUAAUGAUGU